AGGGAAAUAGCUCAGUGGUAGAGCGCAUGCCUAGCAUACGUAAGGUCCUGGGUUCAAUCCUCAGUACCUCCA
RNAcentral lists this transfer RNA (72 nucleotides) under Camelus bactrianus (Bactrian camel). It matches the Rfam family "tRNA". From Rfam's summary of the family: Transfer RNA (tRNA) molecules are approximately 80 nucleotides in length. Their secondary structure includes four short double-helical elements and three loops (D, anti-codon, and T loops). The record is from Rfam by way of RNAcentral. RNAcentral also lists the same sequence under 1 other name. Lineage: Eukaryota; Metazoa; Chordata; Mammalia; Artiodactyla; Camelidae.